UACAGAGGGGGCAAGCGUUGUUCGGAAUUACUGGGCGUAAAGGGCGCGUAGGCGGUCAGCACAAGUCAGUUGUGAAAUCUCCGGGCUUAACUCGGAAAGGUCAACUGAUACUGUGCGACUAGAGUGCGGAAGGGGCAACUGGAAUUCCAGGUGUAGCGGUGAAAUGCGUAGAUAUCUGGAGGAACACCGGUGGCGAAGGCGGCAUUCUGGACUGCAACUGACACUGAAAGACGAAAGCCAGGGGAGCAAACGGG
Molecule: ribosomal RNA, 254 nt
Filed under: uncultured bacterium
Lineage: Bacteria
Description: partial 16S ribosomal RNA
Rfam family: Bacterial small subunit ribosomal RNA
Source: RNAcentral